Molecule: ribosomal RNA, 253 nt
Filed under: uncultured bacterium
Lineage: Bacteria
Description: partial 16S ribosomal RNA
Rfam family: Bacterial small subunit ribosomal RNA
Source: RNAcentral
UACGUAGGGCGCAAGCGUUAUCCGGAAUUAUUGGGCGUAAAGAGCUCGUAGGCGGUUUGUCGCGUCGGCCGUGAAAACUUGGGGCUUAACCCCAAGCUUGCGGUCGAUACGGGCAGACUCGAGUUCGGCAGGGGAGACUGGAAUUCCUGGUGUAGCGGUGAAAUGCGCAGAUAUCAGGAGGAACACCGGUGGCGAAGGCGGGUCCCUGGGCCAUUACUGACGCUGAGGAGCGAAAGCGUGGGGAGCGAACAGG